UGGGGAAUCUUGCGCAAUGCGCGAAAGCGUGACGCAGCAACGCCGCGUGGGGGAAGAAGGCCUUCGGGUUGUAAACCCCUUUCAGUUGGGACGAAGCUCCGUCGGUUAAUAGCCGGCUGGAGUGACGGUACCUUCAGAAGAAGCCCCGGCUAACUACGUGCCAGCAGCCGCGGUAAUACGUAGGGGGCUAGCGUUGUCCGGAAUCAUUGGGCGUAAAGCGCGUGUAGGCGGUCCGGUAAGUCCGCUGUGAAAGUCGGGGGCUCAACCCUCGGAUGCCGGUGGAUACUGUCGGGCUUGAGUACGGAAGAGGCGAGUGGAAUUCCUGGUGUAGCGGUGAAAUGCGCAGAUAUCAGGAGGAACACCAAUUGCGAAGGCAGCUCGCUGGGACGUCACUGACGCUGAGACGCGAAAGCGUGGGGAGCAAACAGG
RNAcentral lists this ribosomal RNA (429 nucleotides) under Bacillota bacterium. Its description in RNAcentral is "Firmicutes bacterium partial 16S ribosomal RNA". It matches the Rfam family "Bacterial small subunit ribosomal RNA", at positions 355 to 776 of the family's 1533-position model. The record is from RNAcentral. Lineage: Bacteria; Bacillati; Bacillota.